UUGCUCUUAUGAAGUUAGCGGCGGACGGGUGAGUAACACGUGGGUAACCUGCCCAUAAGACUGGGAUAACUCCGGGAAACCGGGGCUAAUACCGGAUAACAUUUUGAACCGCAUGGUUCGAAAUUGAAAGGCGGCUUCGGCUGUCACUUAUGGAUGGACCCGCGUCGCAUUAGCUAGUUGGUGAGGUAACGGCUCACCAAGGCAACGAUGCGUAGCCGACCUGAGAGGGUGAUCGGCCACACUGGGACUGAGACACGGCCCAGACUCCUACGGGAGGCAGCAGUAGGGAAUCUUCCGCAAUGGACGAAAGUCUGACGGAGCAACGCCGCGUGAGUGAUGAAGGCUUUCGGGUCGUAAAACUCUGUUGUUAGGGAAGAACAAGUGCUAGUUGAAUAAGCUGGCACCUUGACGGUACCUAACCAGAAAGCCACGGCUAACUACGUGCCAGCAGCCGCGGUAAUACGUAGGUGGCAAGCGUUAUCCGGAAUUAUUGGGCGUAAAGCGCGCGCAGGUGGUUUCUUAAGUCUGAUGUGAAAGCCCACGGCUCAACCGUGGAGGGUCAUUGGAAACUGGGAGACUUGAGUGCAGAAGAGGAAAGUGGAAUUCCAUGUGUAGCGGUGAAAUGCGUAGAGAUAUGGAGGAACACCAGUG
Molecule: ribosomal RNA, 651 nt
Filed under: Bacillus thuringiensis
Lineage: Bacteria; Bacillati; Bacillota; Bacilli; Caryophanales; Bacillaceae
Description: bacterial SSU rRNA
Rfam family: Bacterial small subunit ribosomal RNA
Source: RNAcentral